This 231-nucleotide non-coding RNA is filed under the name Lachnospira eligens. RNAcentral describes it as "Eubacterium eligens T-box sequence". It matches the Rfam family "T-box leader". From Rfam's summary of the family: Uncharged tRNA acts as the effector for transcription antitermination of genes in the T-box leader family. T-boxes are found upstream of many aminoacyl-tRNA synthetase genes and some amino acid biosynthetic genes usually in Gram-positive bacteria. The anticodon of a specific tRNA base pairs to a specifier sequence within the T-box motif, and the NCCA acceptor tail of the tRNA base pairs to a conserved bulge in the T-box antiterminator hairpin. The record is from RNAcentral. Lineage: Bacteria; Bacillati; Bacillota; Clostridia; Lachnospirales; Lachnospiraceae.
UUAAAGGCAUUGAAAAAGAGGAGUACAUAUCCUUAUCCGACAGAGAGAACCGUUCACUGGCUGGAAGAUGGUUCAGGUAAUAAUGAUAUGGAAGGUAGCUUUGGAGCCGCAUGGCUGAACUGUUGAUUUAAGUAGGCUGUGACGUAUUCCGCGUUAAGGAAUAAUGAGGAUUAUCACAAGAUAAUUAAACAAAGGUGGUACCGCGUUAAUAAGUUUAUUUACGCCCUUUGC